Molecule: ribosomal RNA, 468 nt
Filed under: uncultured bacterium
Lineage: Bacteria
Description: SSU rRNA
Rfam family: Bacterial small subunit ribosomal RNA
Source: RNAcentral
AGGACGAACGCUUGCGACGUGCCUAAGAAAUGCAAGUCGAACGGGGUAGCAAUACCUAGUGGCGAACGGUCGCGUAACACGUGGGCAACCUGCCCUGAAGCGGGGGACAACAACUCGAAAGAGUUGCUAAUACCGCAUGUGGAUCGCUCUGGCAUCAGAGAUUAUCCAAAGCCUUCGGGCACUUCAGGAUGGGCCCGCGGCCUAUCAGCUUGUUGGUGAGGUAACGGCCCACCAAGGCUUCGACGGGUAGCUGGUCUGAGAGGACGAUCAGCCGGAUUGGGACUGAGAUACGGCCCAGACUCCUACGGGGGGCAGCAAUUAGGAAUCUUGCACAAUGGGCGAAAGCCUGAUGCAGCGACGUCGCGUGAGGGAUGAAGUCUUUCGGGACGUAAACCUCUUUUAUCGGGGAAGAAACAAAAUGACGGUACCCGGUGAAUAAGCCCCGGCUAACUACGUGCCAGCAGCCGC